This 228-nucleotide ribosomal RNA is filed under the name uncultured bacterium. Its description in RNAcentral is "partial 16S rRNA". It matches the Rfam family "Bacterial small subunit ribosomal RNA", at positions 505 to 732 of the family's 1533-position model. The record is from RNAcentral.
GUGUCAGCCGCCGCGGUAAUACGUAGGUGGCAAGCGUUGUCCGGAAUUACUGGGCGUAAAGGGUGCGCAGGCGGACUUUUAAGUGAGAUGUGAAAGACCCGGGCUUAACUUGGGCAGUGCAUUUCAAACUGGAUGUCUGGAGUGCAGGAGAGGAGAAUGGAAUUCCUAGUGUAGCGGUGAAAUGCGUAGAGAUUGGGAGGAACACCAGUGGAGAAGGCGGUUCUCUGG